AAUUCUUUCUUCUGAGGAGACAAGGACUGAGGUUGCUGUGGACCCGUAUGGAUUCGCCGCCGGUAACUUGCGUAACUCGGAUAUCUGCCACUGCUAACAUAUUUGGUCCACAUGACUCAGAUACCUUCCUAGUGGCCAUUGAGCUCCAGACAAUCCUCAAUGAGGAAAGCCAUCCUCUCAAUAUUCAAGAGUCACCCUUCUAGAGAGGACCUCUGCACUUCCCAUCAGUGGGACAAGACAGUGGUGAAAUCCUGCCCCUGUCUCCCUUGGACCUGGCUGGAUACCACUUUCACCAACUGAUGCAGCCAACUCAGCCCUGACGGGUAGCAAGGAGCCAAGAUCCACCCGACCACGACCACCCCUCUGUCAGCAGGAAGCAGUUACAGAAGACAGAAGUCAUCCAUUUUGGAUGACAGACCUUCAUCCAAAGAUUUGAGGUCCUGGACUCUUGAGAUCUAUAGCCAGUUGCCUUGGAACCUCUGCUGAGUACUUCAUCAAGCACCUGCUGUUUGAAGAGGGAGUAAGCCAGAAUAAAAUUCUCGCUCUUCAGAGUAAUGGAGCAUGAGUCUGCCACACAAAACUUGAGAGAGAGUCCUUUAUUUCAAAGACUGUAAAGUUGGAAGAAUUCAUUCAUCCGCAAAGUCAAAUGUCAAAAGUUGUGCUUCCCACUCCUCAUCAGGCCUGUGGUUAACAAUGCACUCGACUGACAGCUCUGUCAUGCAACAGGGUGCGUGAGAUCGCGAGAGCUGAUGCCUCUGCCUCUACAGUCUGAAAAGUUGCCAGACCAUAUGCUACUUAGUUUAGCCUGUGUGCAUCCUGCCCUGGGACCUGAUUUCUACUUUAUCUUUAAAAAUAUAAAACCUUGGUGCCCUUUAAGUUCUGCUACUGUCUUAAAGUUUUAAAGAAGACAUCAAUGGGUCCAAUUAAUAAUAAAUGUGGCUUCCAUUUAUGGUGUGCUUACAUUUUGCCAGGAUGUCAUCAUUUCUUUACGUGUGCAUCAUCUCACUUAAUUCUAAAAACAACUGCGUGGCCUGGGCAAAAUUAAUCUCCAGGUUUUAGAUUAGGAAACUAAUCCCCAAAGAAGUGAAGUAUCCUGAGAAUCUUGUAGAUUUUGGCUUGUAGAUUUUAUAUUCUUGUUCAAAGCACUUCCUUACAUGGCCUUAAUGUGAGACAUGUAUAACGUAAUAGUGCCACAUUUAGUCAUAUAUAAAGGAUUUUUCAUUCUAGAGC
Gorilla gorilla gorilla (western lowland gorilla) is the source of this 1230-nucleotide long non-coding RNA. RefSeq lists it as uncharacterized. NCBI's taxonomy places the organism in Eukaryota, Metazoa, Chordata, Mammalia, Primates, Hominidae. The record is from RefSeq and is a predicted model, not a curated record. The transcript is spliced from 3 exons.